CAAUAGCGUAUAUUUAAGUUGUUGCAGUUAAAAAGCUCGUAGUUGGAUUUCGGUUGAGAACGGCCGGUCCGCCGUUUGGUGUGCACUGGCUGGUUUCAACUUCCUGUAGAGGACGUGCUCUGGCUUCACGGCUGGACGCGGAGUCUACGUGGUUACUUUGAAAAAAUUAGAGUGUUCAAAGCGGGCUUACGCUUGAAUAUUUCAGCAUGGAAUAACACUAUAGGACUCCUGUCCUAUUUCGUUGGUCUCGGGACGGGAGUAAUGAUUAAGAGGAACAGUUGGGGGCAUUCGUAUUUCAUUGUCAGAGGUGAAAUUCUUGGAUUUAUGAAAGACGAACUUCUGCGAAAGCAUUUACCAAGGAUGUUUUCAUUA
This 372-nucleotide ribosomal RNA is filed under the name uncultured eukaryote. Its description in RNAcentral is "partial 18S ribosomal RNA". It matches the Rfam family "Eukaryotic small subunit ribosomal RNA", at positions 592 to 975 of the family's 1831-position model. The record is from RNAcentral.